UGGCUCACAAAGUAUUCUAUGAUCCUUAAUAAUUGAAAUCUUUAGCGUUUUGUAAUUAUGUUUAAAAUAUACAGUCUUUACACUUUAUAAAUGAAAGCCAUGCUCAGACCACAUCUUUAUAGGGGAAGCUUUGUAAUCCAGUGGUAAAAGGAUUGAUUAACUUUUGUGAGCUUUGUUCUCUCCUUUGUAAUCUCCCAUAGGGUGUAUCCCACAAAGUGUGUCUGUUCAAUUAUGCCCCACUGGAUAUGUCUCUGAGGAAGAGGAAAUUGGAGGAGUGAGGGGCCUGGCACAGUAUAAACACUCACACCAUGUUCUACACGCGAUGGAGUGGGAAACAAGCUGGCAC
Molecule: long non-coding RNA, 346 nt
Filed under: Felis catus (domestic cat)
Lineage: Eukaryota; Metazoa; Chordata; Mammalia; Carnivora; Felidae
Description: lncRNA (ENSFCAG00000047382.1)
Source: RNAcentral